UUAUUCUGCUGUGGUUCAACAACCUGAUUAUUUUUAGAUAGAAAUUUAAGGUAAAAUGGCACAUGGAUAUAUUUAGAGAGGACUGCAGCUGGAGUCCAGCUAUCACAGAAAGCAUUCUGGCAUUUGCUUGGGGAAGAUAUAGCUUUCAAGGGGCAGGGGUUCAGUAAUAGCAGGUCACUAACAACUGUUUCAGGGAGUCACUGAUUCCUGGAAGCAAUGACUGGUGUCUUGACACCCUGGAAGUUUUCCCAAAUGACUUGGCUAGAGUAGAUAAAGCUCAUUUUAUGCCGUUGAUCGUAUGUAUUUUCUUGCUGAUCAUGGAAGAUGGGAGCAAGAAAGGACACUAUGUUUGAUUUGAUUUUGCAGGGAAUAGAGCGACUCAUUAGUCAUUCAGUCAAACAUCCAACAAACAUUUAUUGAGCAUUUACAAUGUACCAUGUUAUUAGAUGCAAGAGAUACAAUGGUGAGGAAAAACAAAUAUUCCCAUGUCUUCAUGAAGCUCAAGACUUAACAGGUAGGAUUAACAUUAACCAGAUAAUCACAUAAAUAAAUGUAAAGUUGCCACUAUGAUGAAUGCUGCCAAUGAAUAGUCUAGUGCUAUCAGGGCAUGCAAGAGGGGAAUCUGGCAUAGUCGAGAUACAGCAAGGCUUCCCUGGAGAAGACACCACUGAAAUCAAGUCUGAAAAGUGAGUAAAAAUUAAUAAAUGAAAGGAAAUUUGAGACUGUCCUAUGUACUCAGAGCAAAAUGUGCCAAAGCCCUGCUGCUGAAGGAGCAUGCAUGUUUGGGGGACUGGUAGGUCAGUGCAGCUGAAGCAGAGAGAGAGAAGACAGGCUAUUAUAAGAUAAGCCUGAAGAGGUAGGAUGAGGUCAACCUUAGAGGACCCUGUACACCACAUUAAGGCCUCAUAUUUUCAGCCAUGUAGGCAAAAUUGGGGCAAACAUACUUUUAAAAGGGAUAAUGGAUCCUUAUAAAAGAAAUUAAGGUCAAUAUAUAUUCAUUGCUACUAUUUUGUGCAAGAAACUAUGCUAGGUCUGAAGAAGCUGCCAAAGGAGUACAACAUCUAUGUUCAUAAUGCAUAAGCAGUCCAAUGAAUAAACAGUGAAAUAUAUUCCAUGUUGUCAGAGAAUAUCUUUAAAUGAUAUGAAGAUUUACUGGAAGAAGACAUGUAACAUGACAAGAGGGAAUAGAAUCUGGGGAACACUUAAUAGAAAAAGGCUAAUGAACAGUCAAUAGAAUUUCUACUAGCAGAAAUGGAGAGUGUGGAGUUAGUGCUAUUGACAGAGUUAUCAAUGUGAGCAAAACCAAACACCAAAAGUGGACCAUGUCCAUUGUCUUUGGGGAGAACAGUAGAAACUUCAGGGAGGUUGUGAUACAGGCACCACCUGGAGAUGGUACAACAGAACAAUGUCUUACUUUUACAUUGUACCCUACAUUUAUAAUCUCAAUAGAUCUCCAAAAGAACACUAUGAAAGAAAUAGGGAAGCUUUAGCAGUUAUCUUCAUUUUACUGAAAUGUAGAGUGUAUAAAUAAUUUUUCCAAGAACACACAACUGGCAAAUGAUUGAUCCACAAUUAAAAUACAGAUUGCAAGUUUCCACUGCUUCACUGAGUCACAAAUUUCAAUCAUUCAGAAUCCAUCUUUAUGGUUUCACUACAUCUGGAUAUCACUUUACUAUCAUACACUUAACGUUUAUCUUUUAAUUGACUAAUUCUUUUUCCUUAAAAUUUUUUAAAAGGAAACUAUCACCCCCUAAGAGGAAGCCAAUAUCAUUUGUCACAAGUUUAAAGAUGCUGCUUGCCUCACAUCUACAACCGUUCCACUGACCAACCCACGUCAAAUGGCCAUGGACAAAGCUAAUGGGAUGGAAAAGUAUACUCCACCUAUGGGGAAGUAGAGACGGCGUUUCACCACGUUAACCAG
This 1921-nucleotide long non-coding RNA is filed under the name Homo sapiens (human). Its description in RNAcentral is "HSALNT0376445". The record is from RNAcentral. Lineage: Eukaryota; Metazoa; Chordata; Mammalia; Primates; Hominidae.